UAAACACAAAUUAUUAGUAGAUUACAAAAUAAUUCCAAUAAUCCCACCAAAACAAACAAAACCCAAUAAUCAAGAAACCUAAGAUAAUUAUACCAAAAUUUCACUGUAAAAUUCAAUUACAAAAGAAACCCAAACCAAGAAAAUUUAACAAAAGGAACCAAAACUAAAAAACCCUAAAACUAAUUUAACAAAAAUUAAAUUAUAGAGGCAGCGAGAACGACGGCAACUUCAGGCAGUGGCGUCGGCGGUUUCGUGCAGCAGUGGAGGCAACGAUUUCGAGUAGUGGCAGAUCACGCAGCAUGCGCCAUUUUGUUGUUGUCGAUUCAAGACGACGGCAGAUCACACCGGCGGCAGAUCACACUGGCAGCAGCUGCAGUGAAAGGCAAGAAGAAGAAUGAGAAGAAGAAGAAAAAAGAAAGAAGAAGAAGAAGAAGAAGAAAGAAAGAAGAAGAAGAUGAAGAUGAAGGCGAAGAAGAAGGAAAAAAGAAAGAAGAUUGAAAGAAAAAAGAUGCCAAGAAGAUUGAAAGAAAGAAGAAGAAGAAGACGAGAAGAAAAAAGGAAACGAGAGAGAGAGAGAAAAGGGGGAAAAAAGAAUGAUAAAAGAGUGUUUCUUUU
This 615-nucleotide long non-coding RNA is filed under the name Citrus sinensis (sweet orange). RNAcentral's name for it is "long non-coding RNA (CSIN_LNC004579)". The record is from RNAcentral. Lineage: Eukaryota; Viridiplantae; Streptophyta; Magnoliopsida; Sapindales; Rutaceae.